RNAcentral lists this microRNA precursor (63 nucleotides) under Ochotona princeps (American pika). RNAcentral's name for it is "miRNA (ENSOPRG00000021932.1)". The record is from RNAcentral. Lineage: Eukaryota; Metazoa; Chordata; Mammalia; Lagomorpha; Ochotonidae.
GGGUCCGAAGGGGCCGGGCUGGGCUGGGCUGGACUGGGUGAAGGGCACCCUGCCAGGGUCCGU